GACGAACGCUGGCGGCGUGCCUAAUACAUGCAAGUCGAGCGGACAGACGGGAGCUUGCUCCCUGAUGUUAGCGGCGGACGGGUGAGUAACACGUGGGUAACCUGCCUGUAAGACUGGGAUAACUCCGGGAAACCGGGGCUAAUACCGGAUGGUUGUCUGAACCGCAUGGUUCAGACAUAAAAGGUGGCUUCGGCUACCACUUACAGAUGGACCCGCGGCGCAUUAGCUAGUUGGUGAGGUAACGGCUCACCAAGGCAACGAUGCGUAGCCGACCUGAGAGGGUGAUCGGCCACACUGGGACUGAGACACGGCCCAGACUCCUACGGGAGGCAGCAGUAGGGAAUCUUCCGCAAUGGACGAAAGUCUGACGGAGCAACGCCGAGUGAGUGAUGAAGGUUUUCGGAUCGUAAAGCUCUGUUGUUAGGGAAGAACAAGUGCCGUUCAAAUAGGGCGGCACCUUGACGGUACCUAACCAGAAAGCCACGGCUAACUACGUG
Molecule: ribosomal RNA, 497 nt
Filed under: uncultured bacterium
Lineage: Bacteria
Description: partial 16S ribosomal RNA
Rfam family: Bacterial small subunit ribosomal RNA
Source: RNAcentral